GGCGAACGCUGGCGGCGUGCUUAACACAUGCAAGUCGAACGGAAAGGCCCUGCUUGCAGGGUACUCGAAUGGCUAACGGGUGAGUAACUCGUGGGUGAUCUGCCCUGCACUUCGGGAUAAGCCUGGGAUACUGGGUCUAAUUCCGACCACGUGCCAUUUUUAGUGUGAUGGUUGGAAAGUUUUUUCGGUGUAGGAUGAGCUCGCGGCCUAUCAGCUUGUUGGUGGGGUAAUGGCCUACCAAGGCGGCGACGGGUAGCCGGCCUGAGAGGGUGGACGGCCACAUUGGGACUGAGAUACGGCCCAGACUCCUACGGGAGGCAGCAGUGGGGAAUAUUGCACAAUGGGGGCAAGCCUGAUGCAGCGACGCCGCGUGGGGGAUGACGGGCUUCGGGUUGUGAACUCCUUUCGCUAGGGACGAAGCUUUUUGUGACGGUACCUAGAUAAGAAGCACCGGCUAACUACGUG
This 465-nucleotide ribosomal RNA is filed under the name uncultured bacterium. Its description in RNAcentral is "partial 16S ribosomal RNA". It matches the Rfam family "Bacterial small subunit ribosomal RNA", at positions 28 to 507 of the family's 1533-position model. The record is from RNAcentral.